CGCUUGGAGCGAAGCGAGAGGCCAAC
This 26-nucleotide small RNA is filed under the name Sinorhizobium meliloti 2011. RNAcentral describes it as "putative ncRNA". The record is from RNAcentral. Lineage: Bacteria; Pseudomonadati; Pseudomonadota; Alphaproteobacteria; Hyphomicrobiales; Rhizobiaceae.